GUGAGAGCGUGCCUUUUGUAGAAUGAACCGGCGAGUUACGUUAUGAUGCGAGGUUAAGUUGAAGAGACGGAGCCGUAGGGAAACCGAGUCUGAACAGGGCGAAUUAGUAUCAUGACGUAGACCCGAAACCAUGUGACCUACCCAUGAGCAGGUUGAAGGUGCGGUAAGACGCACUGGAGGACCGAACCAGGGCACGUUGAAAAGUGCUUGGAUGACUUGUGGGUAGCGGAGAAAUUCCAAACGAACUUGGAGAUAGCUGGUUCUCUCCGAAAUAGCUUUAGGGCUAGCGUCGACAUUAGAGAUUCUUGGAGGUAGAGCACUGUUUGGGUGAGGGGUCCAUCCCGGAUUACCAAUCUCAGAUAAACUCCGAAUGCCAAUGAAUUAUGGUCGGCAGUCAGACUGCGAGUGCUAAGAUCCGUAGUCGAAAGGGAAACAGCCCAGACCACCAGCUAAGGUCCCAAAAUAAUUGUUAAGUGGAAAAGGAUGUGGGGUUGCACAGACAACUAGGAUGUUAGCUUAGAAGCAGCUAUUCAUUCAAAGAGUGCGUAAUAGCUCACUAGUCGAGUGACCCUGCGCCGAAAAUGUACCGGGGCUAAAACAAUUUACCGAAGCUGUGGAUACCUUUAUAGGUAUGGUAGGAGAGCGUUCUAUGUGUGAUGAAGGUAUACCGUGAGGAGUGCUGGAACGCAUAGAAGUGAGAAUGCCGGUAUGAGUAGCGAAAGACAGGUGAGAAUCCUGUCCACCGUAAGACUAAGGUUUCCAGGGGAAGGCUCGUCCGCCCUGGGUUAGUCGGGACCUAAGGAGAGACCGAAAGGUGUAUCCGAUGGACAACAGGUUGAUAUUCCUGUACUAGAGUAUGUAGUGAUGGAGGGACGCAGUAGGCUAACUAAAGCAGACGAUUGGAAGAGUCUGUCUAAGCAGUGAGGUGUGAAUUGAGUCAAAUGCUUAAUUCUAUAACAUUGAGCUGUGAUGGGGAGCGAAGUUUAGUAGCGAAGUUAGUGACGUCACACUGCCAAGAAAAGCUUCUAGCGUUUAAACAUACUCUACCCGUACCGCAAACCGACACAGGUAGUCGAGGCGAGUAGCCUCAGGUGAGCGAGAGAACUCUCGUUAAGGAACUCGGCAAAAUGACCCCGUAACUUCGGGAGAAGGGGUGCUGACUUUAGGUCAGCCGCAGUGAAUAGGCCCAAGCAACUGUUUAUCAAAAACACAGCUCUCUGCUAAAUCGUAAGAUGAUGUAUAGGGGGUGACGCCUGCCCGGUGCUGGAAGGUUAAGAGGAGUGCUUAGCGUAAGCGAAGGUAUGAAUUGAAGCCCCAGUAAACGGCGGCCGUAACUAUAACGGUCCUAAGGUAGCGAAAUUCCUUGUCGGGUAAGUUCCGACCCGCACGAAAGGCGUAAUGAUUUGGGCACUGUCUCAACGAGAGACUCGGUGAAAUUUUAGUACCUGUGAAGAUGCAGGUUACCCGCGACAGGACGGAAAGACCCCAUGGAGCUUUACUGCAGUUUGAUAUUGAGUGUCUGUACCACAUGUACAGGAUAGGUAGGAGUCUAAGAGAUCGGGACGCCAGUUUCGAAGGAGACGCUGUUGGGAUACUACCCUUGUGUUAUGGCCACUCUAACCCAGAUAGGUGAUCCCUAUCGGAGACAGUGUCUGACGGGCAGUUUGACUGGGGCGGUCGCCUCCUAAAAGGUAACGGAGGCGCCCAAAGGUUCCCUCAGAAUGGUUGGAAAUCAUUCGCAGAGUGUAAAGGUAUAAGGGAGCUUGACUGCGAGAGCUACAACUCGAGCAGGGACGAAAGUCGGGCUUAGUGAUCCGGUGGUUCCGUAUGGAAGGGCCAUCGCUCAACGGAUAAAAGCUACCCUGGGGAUAACAGGCUUAUCUCCCCCAAGAGUUCACAUCGACGGGGAGGUUUGGCACCUCGAUGUCGGCUCGUCGCAUCCUGGGGCUGUAGUCGGUCCCAAGGGUUGGGCUGUUCGCCCAUUAAAGCGGCACGCGAGCUGGGUUCAGAACGUCGUGAGACAGUUCGGUCCCUAUCCGUCGCGGGCGUAGGAAAUUUGAGAGGAUCUGCUCCUAGUACGAGAGGACCAGAGUGGACUUACCGCUGGUGUACCAGUUGUCUUGCCAAAGGCAUCGCUGGGUAGCUAUGUAGGGAAGGGAUAAACGCUGAAAGCAUCUAAGUGUGAAACCCACCUCAAGAUGAGAUUUCCCAUGAUUAUAUAUCAGUAAGAGCCCUGAGAGAUGAUCAGGUAGAUAGGUUAGAAGUGGAAGUGUGGCGACACAUGUAGCGGACUAAUACUAAUAGCUCGAGGACUUAUCCAA
Molecule: ribosomal RNA, 2321 nt
Filed under: Streptococcus pneumoniae
Lineage: Bacteria; Bacillati; Bacillota; Bacilli; Lactobacillales; Streptococcaceae
Description: bacterial LSU rRNA
Rfam family: Bacterial large subunit ribosomal RNA
Source: RNAcentral